Oryza barthii is the source of this 208-nucleotide non-coding RNA. Lineage: Eukaryota; Viridiplantae; Streptophyta; Magnoliopsida; Poales; Poaceae. The record is from Rfam.
AAUAAGUGCAGUUUUAGCACUGUUUAUGUCUAAUGUUUGAUCGUUCGUCUUAUUUAAAAAAAAAAUUAUAAUUAGUAUUUUUAUUGUUAUUACAUGAUAAAACAUGAGUAGUACUUUAUGUGUGACUAUUUUUUAAUUUUUUCAUAAAUUUUUUAAAUAAGACGGGCGGUCAAAACACUAAACAUGGAUAUCUAUGGCUACACUUAUU